GAUGAACGCUGACAGAAUGCUUAACACAUGCAAGUCUUUGGCGAAGCUGUGCUUGCACAGCCUAGCCAAGGCGGACGGGUGAGUAACGCGUAAGGAACUUGCCCUGCAGUCAGGGAUAACAGACGGAAACGACUGAUAAGACCUGGUAAAGUCAGGCGGACUCAUGUCCAGCCUGAUGAAAAGAGAUGCUGCAGGAGAGCCUUGCGUCCUAUUAGCUUGUUGGUGGGGUAACGGCCCACCAAGGAGAUGAUAGGUAGCCGGCCUGAGAGGGUGGACGGCCACAAGGGGACUGAGAUACGGCCCUUACUACUACGGGAGGCAGCAGUGGGGAAUAUUGGACAAUGGGGGCAACCCUGAUCCAGCAAUUCUGUGUGAAAGAUGAAGGUUUUCGGAUUGUAAAGUGCUUUCAGCAGGGAAGAAAAAAAUGACGGUACCUGCAGAAGAAGCGACGGCUAAAUACGU
RNAcentral lists this ribosomal RNA (462 nucleotides) under uncultured bacterium. RNAcentral describes it as "partial 16S ribosomal RNA". It matches the Rfam family "Bacterial small subunit ribosomal RNA", at positions 28 to 506 of the family's 1533-position model. The record is from RNAcentral.